UCGAGAAUCUUCGGCAAUGGACGAAAGUCUGACCGAGCGAUGCCGCGUGCGGGAUGAAGGCCUUCGGGUUGUAAACCGCUGUCAGUUGGGAGGAAGGGCCGCCGAAGAGGCGGCUUUGACCUAUCUUCAGAGGAAGUCCGGGCUAAGUUCGUGCCAGCAGCCGCGGUAACACGAACCGGACGAACGUUAUUCGGAAUUAUUGGGCUUAAAGGGUGCGUAGGCGGUGCGGUAAGUGAGGUGUGAAAGCCCCCGGCUCAACCGGGGAAUUGCGCUUCAUACUGCCGUGCUAGAGGGAGACAGAGGUAAGCGGAACUGAUGGUGGAGCGGUGAAAUGCGUUGAUAUUAUCAGGAACACCGGUGGCGAAAGCGGCUUACUGGGUCUCAUCUGACGCUGAGGCACGAAAGCUAGGGUAGCGAACGGGAUUAGAUACCCCGGUAGUCC
RNAcentral lists this ribosomal RNA (442 nucleotides) under uncultured prokaryote. RNAcentral describes it as "bacterial SSU rRNA". It matches the Rfam family "Bacterial small subunit ribosomal RNA", at positions 355 to 796 of the family's 1533-position model. The record is from RNAcentral.